Molecule: long non-coding RNA, 4876 nt
Filed under: Mus caroli (Ryukyu mouse)
Lineage: Eukaryota; Metazoa; Chordata; Mammalia; Rodentia; Muridae
Description: lncRNA (MGP_CAROLIEiJ_G0005313.1)
Source: RNAcentral
GACUUUCUCAUGCUCUCUUCCCACAAGCCAACAGUUCCAAAGCUGUGAGAUUUCUGCUUCUGCCAACCUAGAGCUGAACGGUGCACCAUCUCAGUGACAGCUUCCUUGCAGUCUGACCUACUUUGACCAAUGACUUUCAGGAUUGUCCUCCUCCAAGCCAACUGCCACACGUGAACGCUAGCCUGCUAGAAAGGGCACAUGGAUAAUAGUGGUGUCAUGAGUGAUAGCCCCAACCAGUGACCAGUUGAGUGAUGGAGGCCACCGUCCACGGGCAAGCCAAUGAACCAAAACUUUGAUUCUGCUCCUAGAAUUGCCAGGAACACGUCACCUCCUUAGCAGGUGCUCGGAACAUAUUUGGAGGAUGAAUGAGUCCCCUCGUAUCAGUGCAAAUUCCUCAGCAAAAAGUCACAGGCUGCAAAACUUAAAAAAAAAAAAAAGCAGGAAAACGGUGUAUGUGCUUCAGAGAGCCACCCACCGUGCCAAGCAGGGCGACGUAAGCCGUCUCAUUUGAACCUCCUCACAACAGGAUGGGAACUGCAUAAUCUGGGCAGAGUGCCCCAUGCCUGUGUCCUAGCACUCAGCGAGUUGAGGAAGGAAGACCAGAAGGUACAGGGUCAUUCUCGGCCAUAUUUGCAGUUUGCGGCCAGCCUGGGAGACCCAGACUUGGGCUAGUGAAGAACUGUGGAUGUGAACUGCAGGAUUGCUGUAAGGGACACCCUGAACUCUGCACGGAGAACGCUGUAGUGAGAGAACUGACAGGGAGAGAGGAACAUGGUACCAAAGUAGGAAUGGGUGAGGCUCUGUGUGCCCACAGGACAUGUCCUUACAUGGGUUCAGCCACAGUGUGACUGCUCAGCUGAUGUGUGUAUGCUAAAGGGCAGGGUCCAUGCAUUAGGAGUGGCUGGGCUGGGCUGGUGUGCUGUGCUGUGUUUCCCGUGGAGACAGCACUGAUUCAUUACCCUUCCCAGCCCGCCCAGCUUCUAUCAGGGUUCAACUUGUAGUAAACAAGUCAGAAAAUGCCAUCUGGGUGAGAAAGAGACAGGGGGAGGAGGGGGAGCUUCCGAGGUGACCCUCAGUGUCCUGUCAGCCCCAAAUCUUCCUAGAAACUACACACUGGAUCCACAGAGCUCAGAAUCUCUCUCACCAAUGGCAGAAAACCCUUCUUCACCCAAUUUCCGAUCUUUUUUUUUCUCCUGGAAUGUUCUAGAAACUCUACUCUCCUGGGAUGAUUCUGAGAUAUAACCACUCCAGCUUGCACUGGGGGGUGGGGUGGGGUGUUCUGCUGCCCAGAGGAUAUCUGUUGGGGUGCUUCUGGGAGGUGCGCGUCAAUAAAUCAACCCGUGCGUGCUAUUGAUCAACAGUUUCCCUAAAGUCUGGCCAGCGAAAUUCAGGCUUGUUGUCUAAGUGAGUAGGUCUGACGUUCUCGGAGCAGAGAAAACAGGAGACACAGUUCAGCCCGCAAGAUGAAUAAAACCACAAUCACAACAAGAGCACAAGUAGAGGAGCGAUUAAGUGUCAGAUUGUGAGGGUCUCCCUUGGUUCACCAGGACUUUCAAAAGGGCAGGUAAGACUAGCCAGUUUGCCCCCAAAAUAAGCCAAAGGAGACUGGACGGGCUUGAACACUAGAAGUGAAUUGCCUCAAGGCUCUGACCCCUGGGAGGCUGAGGCUAAGAUGGUUCUAGGACUGGUUUCCUCUGAGGCUGUGAGCAAGACUGUUUAACUCCUGUCUCGCUUCUGCUGGCGACUAGCAUUUGUUUGUGUCUGCUAGUCUCUACCGUGGAAACAACCACAUCUGCACAGACCCCCGUUCCAAACAAGGUUGCAUUCUGAGGGUCGGAGGUCUAGGAGUUCAAUCCAUGAAUUAUGGGUGGCGACACAUGAUUUAACCCAUAGCAUAACCAGAAGUGGGUUCCACAUAUGGAUCAUGCACAGGAUCUUCUUUUGCCAGUCCACAGAUCGCCAACGAGUCUUCUCGAAAAUGACUUGCACUGGCUUGGCCCCACCCUUCGAGGUGGUAGCAGGCCUCACCUUAUCUUACUUGCAACUCAGGUGUGACUGGCCCCACCCUGGGUGAGAGGUUACUGUGAGCAACCAACACUGGGAGAUCAUGGAGGAAUGGGCCGAGAAGGGACCUCAGGAUAAAAAUAGCUCCAGCAGUAGUGGUAGGUGGCGUGUGCCCAGCUGACCUUUGCCCUUUGAGACUUUGAAAGUCACCAGGUUGGGAUGACUCAGCUCUCCGCUUGUCACCCUGGGGAAGUGUGACUGUACUUGGGGGGGGGGGUCACUUCUCUUUUCCUUCCUCCCCUGGCAGCUCUUCAGGAGCUUCCAGAAGCCUGAAGAGGGUCCCAUGACGACACUGAUGUAAUCCUGUGUGCCCCUGUAAAAGGGGCGUGGUGGGAUCAGAGCUGAACUGUCUUUCAAAGCAGGCUUUGGGCUGAGAGCUCUGGACCCAUUCAUGCGGGGUUUGACUCUUCCAGGCUGAGAGACUGUUAAAGGAAGAAGCAGUGACCCGCAGCUGACUGCAGUGGCCAGGGCUCCAGGGUACACAUCUGUCAAUUCACCUCCCUGGAGGCACGGGCUGCUGGGAGUGAGUUCCGUGAGAAGCUGUUGGGUAUAACCCGUGAAUGCUGAGAGAACUGUAGGCUGCCUGUGGGGAAGAGGGAGCAGGCAUUGCCCUCUCGCCUGUGAAUCGCUAGUGCCUGCUGCAGAGAAGCCUGGGCCCACAGGGCACCGGGUAUGAAGGAAAGCAAGCGGUUCCGUGUUGAAGGCACGGUCUCUGUCCUGCGGCAGUGAACUUCCUGCCUUUGAACCCACUCACCACACUCCCUUUAUGGAUCUCAGGGAAACCCCAGAGCCACGGUGCAACCCCUCCCCACCCACACAGGCCCGCUGCCUGGCCCAGGUACGCGUAGGCUUCUUACUGGGACUUGAAGCUGCACACGUGGGCUCUGGUUCUCACCCACCGCUCUCAUCAGGCGGGGCGUCCCCAGAACAAAGGGUGCCAUCUGCUCAAGGACAAACCCAGACUUCAUUUCUGUUGGUAUCUUCUUUCACCAUCUUUCCUUCCUUAGGCUGUAUUUUAAAUAUUCUCAGUCAUCCUAUCAGACGGAAUGUGUUUCACUAAAAAUGUCAACUUGGUACAGUAAAUGGGUGAUCCUUAGAGGAAAAAGGCCACCUACAGGAUGCAUGAACAGGUUUGCAAAUUGUGGACCUGAUAAAGGACCAAUAUCCGGGAUAUACAAAGAACUCCUACAAGCCGCUGCCACCGCCACCAACAGUGACAGAAACCAGGGAGGCGAUUCAGCCAAGCAAACACUUGUUUUUCCUCUACAAGUCAUAAAAUGGAACCCACACCGGGCAGUGGUGGCGCACGCCUUUAAUCCCAGCUCUUGGGAGGCAGAGGCAGGCGGAUUUCUGAGUUCGAGGCCAGCCUGGUCUACAGAGUGAGUUCCAGGACAGCCAGAGCUGCACAGAGAAACCCUGCCUCGAAAAACAACAACAACAACAACAAAAACAAAACAAAACAGAAACUACUUCCCACCUAUCAGAGCAGCUACCAUGUAAAAACCAUUACUAGUUUUGGUAGGAUGCCCUGGACACUGUUGGUGGGAAAUGAACAUGACUAACUCUGUAGAAUAUUCUCUUUAAAGAAAUGAAGGAAGGGAAAGGAAAGGGGGAGAGGAAAAGGAAGAAAUAGAAUUAUUGUAUGGCUCAGUAAUUCUGUUUCCAGGUAUGAACGCAAAAGAGUAUUUUAAAGGUCAUGGAGGCUGACAAGAUGGAGGAAGGGCAGGUUUAGCUGUAUCUUCUGGGUCACCUGGCAGCCAUUGGUAGCUGUGUGGAAGGUGGUGGUCAUGUACUUGGAGGGCAACAAUAUUUUUGGCACCCAUCCUUCUCGUGCUGUAUUCGCCUUGGCUGGAAAGCAACCAUUCCUACUUCCCACAACCCCGCCAAAGACGAGAGAGGAAGCCUGAGACCUGGAGGGAGACCUGGAGGGAGGGUAAAGGCAGGGUCUCCUUAGGUAACAUGCCAGAAUGUUCCAGAAUACAGACUUUUGAGCUCAGACUCCACUUCAUAGCAAAGUCGCCUUAACCCCACCAUGGGACUGCCUCCACACAGAGGUAAGUUGGAAACAUGGGUACUUAGAAAGGCCUUAGAAGAAAACACAAAGACACUGUCCAAAGCUGGGUGCCCAAGCCUGUGUGUCCAAGACCAGGUGUCCAAGCCUGUGUGUCCAAGGCUGGGUGCCCAAUCACCCAGGCACUUGCCAGGCACCAUUGUAGGCGCACCAGGCCCAAGAGGAGAGGAUGUGGGUUUGAAUAAGACCCAGACUCAGCCCACGUUUGUCGAAAGUGUAACAGUGAACUCAGACAUCUAAAGAUGGAUCACAGAACAGUGACGUAGUUAGUGUAUGUGUGCAGAAAACUGAACAGAAGCAAAAACAAAGAGGACAAAACAAGAAACCCCUGAACUUAGAAGUGGCUGGAAUUCAAAUAUUCAUUUCCCCCCAAAGAUGUAAGUGUGUAUGUGAAGUCUGUAUGCAAAAAGAGGCAGACACCGUUACUCUGCAGGGAGAUGCAAAUCCAAACCACAGUGAGAUGCCACCUCACACCCAGCCUACCCAGCUAAGGGAAAGGACAGAUCCUGACAAGUGUUGAAAGAGGUGAGACACUGGAAUUCUCACAGCUGGCAGACAUAACAAAGCAGCUCUGUUAAACAGUUACUUUUCUCAACGAAAGUUUAAAAACUAGGAAACAAAAGUUACAUAUGAGCCAGGGUUCUGAAAAGAAACAAUGUCUAAGACUUUACAUUCAGAAUUCUUUGUUCUUUCUGACAGGAAAAGAAAAGAAAAGAAAAGAAAAUUGCUCUCAAUUUAUAC